ACGCUCGACACCUACGGGAGGCAGCAGUGGGGAAUAUUGCACAAUGGGGGGAACCCUGAUGCAGCGACGCCGCGUGAGGGAAGAAGGUUUUCGGAUUGUAAACCUCUGUCCUUGGUGACGAUAAUGACGGUAGCCAAGGAGGAAGCCACGGCUAACUACGUGCAAGCAGCCGCGGUAAUCUGAGCGGGCUGGCAAGGC
RNAcentral lists this ribosomal RNA (198 nucleotides) under uncultured bacterium. RNAcentral describes it as "partial 16S ribosomal RNA". It matches the Rfam family "Bacterial small subunit ribosomal RNA", at positions 328 to 539 of the family's 1533-position model. The record is from RNAcentral.